AGAACGAACGCUGGCGGCACGCCUAACACAUGCAAGUCGAGCGCCCAGCAAUGGGAGCGGCGGACGGGUGAGGAACACGUGGGAACAUGCCUUUCGGUUCGGCACAACUGCGGGAAACUGCAGCUAAUUCCGGAUACGCCCUUACGGGGAAAGAUUUAUCGCCGAAAGAUUGGCCCGCGUCUGAUUAGCUAGUUGGUGAGGUAAUGGCUCACCAAGGCUUCGAUCAGUAGCUGGUUUGAGAGAACGACCAGCCACACUGGGACUGAGACACGGCCCAGACUCCUACGGGAGGCAGCAGUGGGGAAUCUUGGACAAUGGAGGAAACUCUGAUCCAGCGAUGCCGCGUGAGUGAUGAAGGCCUUCGGGUUGUAAAACUCUUUUACCAGGGAAGAUAAUGACUGUACCUGGAGAAUAAGCCCGGCUAACUUCGCGCCAGCAGCCGC
This 443-nucleotide ribosomal RNA is filed under the name uncultured bacterium. RNAcentral describes it as "SSU rRNA". It matches the Rfam family "Bacterial small subunit ribosomal RNA", at positions 26 to 518 of the family's 1533-position model. The record is from RNAcentral.